GACGAACGCUGGCGGUGUGCUUAACACAUUCAAGUCGAACGGUAAGGCCCUUUCGGGGGUACACGAGUGGCGAACGGGUGAGUAACACGUGAGUAACCUGCCCUCAUCUCUGGGAUAACAGUCGGAAACGGUUGCUAAUACUGGAUAUGAGCUUGCAAGGCAUCUUGUGGGUUGGAAAGAUUUUUUUUGGUUGGGGAUGGACUCGCGGCCUAUCAGCUUGUUGGUGAGGUAGUGGCUCACCAAGGCUUCGACGGGUAGCCGGCCUGAGAGGGCGACCGGCCACAUUGGGACUGAGAUACGGCCCAAACUCCUACGGGAGGCAGCAGUGGGGAAUAUUGCACAAUGGACGGAAGUCUGAUGCAGCAACGCCGCGUGCGGGAUGACGGCCUUCGGGUUGUAAACCGCUUUCAAUUGUGACGAAGCUUUUUUGUGACGGUAGCAGUAGAAGAAGCACCGGCUAACUACGUG
Molecule: ribosomal RNA, 468 nt
Filed under: uncultured bacterium
Lineage: Bacteria
Description: partial 16S ribosomal RNA
Rfam family: Bacterial small subunit ribosomal RNA
Source: RNAcentral